RNAcentral lists this ribosomal RNA (459 nucleotides) under uncultured bacterium. RNAcentral describes it as "partial 16S ribosomal RNA". It matches the Rfam family "Bacterial small subunit ribosomal RNA", at positions 338 to 795 of the family's 1533-position model. The record is from RNAcentral.
CCUACGGGAGGCAGCAGUGAGGAAUAUUGGUCAAUGGCCGAGAGGCUGACCCAGCCAAGUCGCGUGAGGGAAGACGGCCCUACGGGUUGUAAACCUCUUUUGUCGGGGAGCAAAGCGAGUCACGUGUGACUCAUUGAGAGUACCCUAAGAAAAAGCAUCGGCUAACUCCGUGCCAGCAGCCGCGGUAAUACGGGGGCUACGAGGGUUAUCCGGUUUUAUUGGGUUUAACGGGUGCGCAGGCGGAGGUGCAAGUCAGCGGUCAAAUUGCGGGGCUCAACCCCGUACUGCCGUUGAAACUGCAUCCCUUGAGUGCGCGAGAGGUGUGCGGAAUGCGUGGUGUAGCGGUGAAAUGCAUAGAUAUAACGCAGAACUCCGAUUGUGAAGGCAGCAUACCGGCGUGCAACUGACGCUCAUGCACGAAAGCGUGGGUAUCGAACAGGAUUAGAUACCCUUGUAGUC